This 538-nucleotide long non-coding RNA is filed under the name Daucus carota (carrot). RNAcentral describes it as "long non-coding RNA (DCAR_LNC004499)". The record is from RNAcentral. Lineage: Eukaryota; Viridiplantae; Streptophyta; Magnoliopsida; Apiales; Apiaceae.
AUCAUUUAUCACAUUUAUAAGAUUAUAAAUAAGCACAGCCUUCACGUAACCAUCAAUUUAUAACAAUUAGAUCACAUAUAAUCACAUUCUACAUUUUAAACAACACAUAGUCACAUUCUAGACUCAAUCCUAUUAUUAUGUCACAUUAAAAUAGGCUUUAUAAGCUUUCAUCUCUCUUUCGUUUCACUCGAUUCCGCCUUACGGAUCAAAAGAUAUGUUCAAAACCGUUUUCUAACUCCCUUUCGGUAUAAUAAUGCAUCAGACAGAGAGCUGACAAUGCAUUUCUCAUAAGGUUUCCCAUCCCAAUUGAUAUCAAAUCAACUCUUGGGUUAAAAAUGAUUUUUCGGGAAUUUUCCAGAAUUUUUAAACAUUUUUCGGAAUUAAAAUCGAUAAAAGAAUCACUUUUUUGAAUAAAUAAUCAAGUCCCAAAUACUUGAAAUUGCACUUGAAAUCAUUCAUAAACAAUUAUCGAGCCUUGAAAAUAAUUUGGAAAAAUAUUUUAAAGCUCGAAACUAUUUUUCGGAAUUUUUAAAUCAAA